AAAAAACUUAAAAAUUGCAGUGAUGUUACUUGGCUGCCAACUUGAAAGUUAAUGUAGAUGUUUCAAAAGUGAUUUCUCCUUCUUCAAUUAUUCACUUCAACUCAAAAUUAAUAUAUAGCUUGAUCUUAAAGUCUUCUAACACCAUGCCAAAUUUUGCCUUGAUCCAACUAGUAGAUCUUCAGAUAUUAUAAAAAUCCUACCACACUCCAAUUGCCAAUUUCUAAUACCCUCUUGUACCAAAACCCAGAUAUCUCUCAAUUUCACUAUUAGAUUAAUGUAAAAUUUUAUACACACUUAAUACACCUAAUCAACAAAGUAUUAUCAAAUUUUAAAUUGUAGAUUGGACACCAAUUAUUCCAACUUCAUGAGAGUGCUAGCCCUAAUUUUAUUGCAUAAAUUCCAAAUUAUCAAUACAAAUCUUAAUUUUGAACAAUAAUUACAAAGUCAUUCCAAAUCCUAUGAAAACAAGCCUUACACCUUUAAAAUAAGCUUGGAGCUAGCUUAUGAAUCCUAAUUUUUGAUCUUUGAAUGACUCCUUACUUUGCCUUAAGUAGCCGCUUUAAUAUCUAGAGGUCUAAUUUUGACCCUGUCCCAUGAAUGGUCAACCUCCAAAUAGAAAUUCAACCUAUCUUAGGGAUUUUUUAGCCCAAGCCUAUCAU
Molecule: long non-coding RNA, 659 nt
Filed under: Physcomitrium patens
Lineage: Eukaryota; Viridiplantae; Streptophyta; Bryopsida; Funariales; Funariaceae
Description: long non-coding RNA (PPAT_LNC013992)
Source: RNAcentral